This 440-nucleotide ribosomal RNA is filed under the name uncultured bacterium. RNAcentral's name for it is "partial 16S ribosomal RNA". It matches the Rfam family "Bacterial small subunit ribosomal RNA", at positions 338 to 795 of the family's 1533-position model. The record is from RNAcentral.
CCUACGUGAGGCAGCAGUGGGGAAUAUUGCACAAUGGGGGAAACCCUGAUGCAGCGACGCCGCGUGAGUGAAGAAGUAAUUCGUUAUGUAAAGCUCUAUCAGCAGGGAAGAAAAUGACGGUACCUGAGUAAGAAGCCCCGGCUAACUACGUGCCAGCAGCCGCGGUAAUACGUAGGGGGCAAGCGUUAUCCGGAUUUACUGGGUGUAAAGGGAGCGUAGACGGCAGUGCAAGGCUGGAGUGAAAGGCGGGGGCUCAACCCCCGGACUGCUCUGGAAACUGUACGGCUGGAGUGCAGGAGAGGUAAGUGGAAUUCCUAGUGUAGCGGUGAAAUGCGUAGAUAUUAGGAGGAACACCGGCGGCGAAGGCGGCCUGCUGGACUGCGACUGACGUUGAGGCUCGAAAGCGUGGGGAGCGAACAGGAUUAGAUACCCUAGUAGUC